AUACGGAGGGUGCAAGCGUUGUUCGGAUUUACUGGGCGUAAAGAGAUCGUAGGUGGUUUAUUAAGUCGGAUGUGAAAUCCCGGGGCUCAACCUCGGAACUGCAUUCGAUACUGGUAGACUAGAGUUUGGGAGGGGUAAGCGGAAUUCCGUGUGUAGCAGUGAAAUGCGUAGAUAUACGGAGGAACACCUGAGGCGAAGGCGGCUUACUGGACCAAUACUGACACUGAGGAUCGAAAGCGUGGGUAGCAAACAGGAUUAGAAACCCUAGUAGUCC
RNAcentral lists this ribosomal RNA (274 nucleotides) under uncultured bacterium. RNAcentral describes it as "partial 16S ribosomal RNA". It matches the Rfam family "Bacterial small subunit ribosomal RNA", at positions 523 to 796 of the family's 1533-position model. The record is from RNAcentral.